CCAACGGGGGGCAGCAGUGGGGAAUAUUGGACAAUGGGGGCAACCCUGAUCCAGCCAUGCCGCGUGAAUGAUGAAGGCCUUCGGGUUGUAAAGUUCUUUUGGUGGGGACGAUGAUGACGGUACCCACAGAAUAAGCUCCGGCUAACUUCGUGCCAGCAGCCGCGGUAAUACGAAGGGAGCUAGCGUUGUUCGGAAUUACUGGGCGUAAAGGGCGCGUAGGCGGUUCGGCAAGUCAGAUGUGAAAGCCCUGGGCUCAACCCGGGAAUUGCGUUUGAGACUGCCGUGCUUGAAUUCGGGAGAGGUUGGUAGAAUUCCCAGUGUAGAGGUGAAAUUCGUAGAUAUUGGGAAGAAUACCCGUGGCGAAGGCGGCCAACUGGACCGACAUUGACGCUGAGGCGCGAAAGCGUGGGGAGCAAACA
This 419-nucleotide ribosomal RNA is filed under the name uncultured prokaryote. Its description in RNAcentral is "bacterial SSU rRNA". It matches the Rfam family "Bacterial small subunit ribosomal RNA", at positions 338 to 774 of the family's 1533-position model. The record is from RNAcentral.